Long non-coding RNA from Neopsephotus bourkii (Bourke's parrot), 2199 nucleotides. RefSeq lists it as uncharacterized. Lineage: Eukaryota; Metazoa; Chordata; Aves; Psittaciformes; Psittacidae. The transcript is spliced from 3 exons. The record is from RefSeq and is a predicted model, not a curated record.
CCGCCAGCGGAGCCCGCCUCUUCGCGAUGCCCCUCGCCGGGGCUUGCCCUCCCGCCCGCCAUCCCCCCGCCGCCCGGGGGAGCCCCACGGGGCGCUGAGCGCCCGCCGGCGAAAGUUAGACCGGCGGCGGACAGGCACCUACCCGCUGACUGCAAUGUCUCCUCCGGGCGCGGGGUGCUAAGACGAGGUGAAAUCCCUUUAGUGGUCAUGAGGCGGCUUCAGAGACAAACACCACAGUGCGAGUGCAAAUAACAAAAGGGGAAAAAAAAAAAAAAAAGGAAAAUACACGAGAGGGAGACCGGGAACAAUGGGGGAGGAGAGGCUCGCCGCGCCUGGCCGCCGCCGGCACCCCGGCAGGAGCAGGAGGCAGAGGAGGAAGGCGAGGUGGCUGCCGCGGGGAGGGGGCUGCGCGGGGAGUCUCCUCAGAGCAGUCCCGGGCUCCUUCUCGCCGGCCGCGCACCGGGGCGGCCCUGCGGCUGCGGCGGGGCGGACAACGCCCUUUGCUCUGCCUGUACUUCAUACAGCUGAUCGGGAGCAAGCACCGCGGUGCCCGGGCGCGGGGGAAAGAAGAGGCGAAACCGGCCGCCGGAGCCUGGGGACAGGCAAGGGGCGACCCGCCGGUGCUGCUGCUAAUAAAGUCACGCUCUGCAAGUAAGAGGUUUCUCUGUUUUGUUUACUUACGGGGUCUUUUAUUUUUAAUGGAGAGGUUCGUACACGUGCUGCUGUGGAGCGGUGCAGCCGGCUUAGGCGGAGUGUGCGCCUGAGAGUGGGAAAUGCAGCACUAAGCCAAACGGUUCAAAGAAGAGCAAGUUCGGUUAUUAUUCAUCUCCACGAGGGAAGUCUUAUCUUCUACAAAUAUUUGAUACUGGGACAAGUCCAAUAAUUAACAAGAACAAUCAAACAAUUUCACUGCCUUCUCGGGGAUUUAAAAAGUCGUCAUCUGGAAUUCAUGAGCAUUACAACCGGGUUUUUUUCUGCUUGGAUGCGUUAUUGUAUAUGAUCUUUUCAGUAUGUGUGCGUCCCUAAGUAAUUUUACCCUUUGAUGCAAAAAGAUGCAAACCAUUAAGGGCACAGAUAAUAGUCACAAUUGCUGAGUCAGUGAGACUUCAGCCCUCUCCGUAUGAGUGGGGAGAGAGGGUGGUAACCCUGAUGGGAAAAGGGAAAAACAACACAAAAAAAAAAAAAAAAGAAAAAAAAAAAAAAGAGGUGGAGGAGUGUUUCUUUCUUGGCUUCCUCCCUACCUCUGUGGCAGGAACUCCCACGGGCGUCCUGUGGGUGGGAUGGGAGCAGCACAGAGCUAAGGCACGGCUGCCUGGCAGGAGAAUGGCCAGUGAUGUAAAGGUGCAAGCGUCUGUGCUCCCAGCUGGCCCCAGAACUCCUCUUACCAGAGAAGAAGCCACACCGGGAAAGGAAUGGGAGUACCAAGCUCUGCAGCAGCAUUUCUGACACAGCAUGAGCUUGGGGUGCCAGGGAGGCAGUGUGGCUUUCAGGACCUGUGGUGACCUAAGCAGGCCAGAUUGGUAGUGCCCCAGGGCCCAGUUGUAGCCCCAAAAUACCCCAAACUACUCAAACUUGCCUCAUCUGGAUCAAAUUCAGAUAUCGAGAAAGAUGACCACAUGCUGAAUGGCAAGAGUUUUACCCUGCACUGCCCCAGUCACCAAAUUAUGUCCAAGGUCUCACAGUGAUCACCAAAGUCACAAGUCCUCAGUCCAUGCCUGCUCAUGCAACCCUCCAGUCUCAUGGCUGGCAGCCCCAGUGCUGGCACAGGUAAGGAAAUACAUUGGGCAUGGAGCUCCACUCAUUUUCAGGUAAUCUCAAGCCUCGGGACCUACAGCCAGACUUCUCUGUGAUAGGCUUGAUAGGGGAAUGUGUCCCCUCCCCACAACUUUCAGAUCUCUUUUCUCUUGAUACAAUUCCCACCCAAUUUUUUCAUUCCCUCCAGCCCCCCCCUUCACUUCUUGCUUUAUGUCAAGUUUCACAAUCAUGAUGAAGUUUCUUGCAGUUCAACACAAGAAAGGAAUUACAGUGGUUGGGUCCAAAACUAAUCUGGAGUGAAGAGAAAAAGCCAAAUGUGGGUGCAUUUUGUUGAAGAUCAAAAGCACAGUGGUGUGAGAUUGUAUUAUGCUCUCCACAGGAGCUGUAUUUUUCUACUACUACAAUAGGAUUAAGGUGCUCAGUGGAAAAGAGAAUUACAAGGGG